Pelobates cultripes (western spadefoot toad) is the source of this 238-nucleotide non-coding RNA. The record is from the annotation of a GenBank genome assembly. Lineage: Eukaryota; Metazoa; Chordata; Amphibia; Anura; Pelobatidae.
GAAAGAUGACCACCACUGAACAAGACACACAAGCUGAAACAUCAAGACUGAUUUUUCUAAGGUUUUAUGGACUGAUGAAAUGAGAGUGAGUCUUGAUGGGCCAGAUGGAUGGGCACGUGGCUGGAUUGGUAAAGGGCAGAGAGCUCCAGUCCGACUCAGACGCCAGCAAGGUGGAGGUGGAGUAUUGGUUUGGGCUGGUAUCAUCAAAGAUGAGCUUGUGGGGCCUUUUCGGGUUGAG